This 108-nucleotide ribosomal RNA is filed under the name Notechis scutatus (mainland tiger snake). Lineage: Eukaryota; Metazoa; Chordata; Lepidosauria; Squamata; Elapidae. The record is from RNAcentral.
GCAGAUAGUAACACCUGAUUGACUUUCUCUGGGCUGGACAGUGAAAGACGUUUGGGCCUAAUUAGUACUUGGAAGGGAGAUCUCCAGAGAACAGGAGGGCAAUAAGCU